This 259-nucleotide ribosomal RNA is filed under the name uncultured Scutellospora. RNAcentral's name for it is "partial 18S ribosomal RNA". It matches the Rfam family "Eukaryotic small subunit ribosomal RNA", at positions 624 to 886 of the family's 1831-position model. The record is from RNAcentral. Lineage: Eukaryota; Fungi; Glomeromycota; Glomeromycetes; Diversisporales; Gigasporaceae.
AAGCUCGUAGUUGAAUUUCGGGGUCCUUCCAUUGGUCAGGCUAACAAGUCUGUACUAAUGGGUAGAAUUCCUACCUUCUGGGGAACCAUCAUGUUAUUUAUUUAGCGUGGUGGGAAACCAGGACCGUUUACCUUGAAAAAACUUAGAGUGUUCAAAGCAGGCUUACGUCUGAAUACAUUAGCAUGGAAUAAUAAAAUAGGACGGUGGUCCUGUUUUGUUGGUUUCUGAAUCACCGUAAUGAUUAAUAGGGAUAGUUGGG